Molecule: non-coding RNA, 7138 nt
Organism: Danio rerio (zebrafish)
Lineage: Eukaryota; Metazoa; Chordata; Actinopteri; Cypriniformes; Danionidae
Source: RefSeq, a predicted model, not a curated record
AAGAGACUCAAUGGAAUGAAAUGGAAGAGAAACAUCAAGACAUAACGACUGAUGAAAAACCCACACUCACUAAAAAGACUUCAUUACGCGGAAGACCUCGGAAAUCCAAAUCUUUUUUCAGCAGUAAACAGUGUAGAAAAAGUUUCAGUCAAAAGCCAAAGCUUGAUGUUCACAUGAGGGUUCACACAGGGGAGAAACCUUACACCUGCGAACAGUGUGGAAAGAGUUUUCCUAAAAUCCAUGGCUUUAAGGCCCACAUGAGAAUUCACAUUGGAGAGAGGCCGUACAAAUGCCAACAGUGUGGAAAGAGUUUUAAGCAAAAUAGCAACCUUGAAGUUCACAUGAGAACUCACAAUGAAGGAAGAAUUUUUACUUGCACACAGUGUGGAAAAAGUUUUGCUAAAAAACACAACCUUAACAUCCACAUGAGGAUUCACACUGGAGAGAAACCUUACACAUGCACAGAAUGUGGUCAAAGUUUCCCAUAUAAAACCACAUUCAAUAUCCACAGGAGAAUUCACACUGGAGAGAAACCUUACAGAUGCACAGAGUGUGGUAAAAGUUUCACACAUAAAACCACACUCAAUAACCAUAAGAGAACUCACACUGGAGAGAAGCCUUACAGAUGCACUGAGUGUGGUCAACGUUUCCCAUAUAAAACCACACUCAAUAACCACAUGAGAACUCACACUGGAGAGAAGCCGUUUGCAUGUGCUCAGUGUGGAAAGAGCUUCAGAGCCAAAGCUAGCCUCAUGAAUCACACGAAUCUUCACACUGGAACCAUAAAACCGUUUACAUGCACUCAGUGUGGGAAGAGUUUCAGCCAAUCAUCAUCCCUUAAGAUUCACAUGAGGAUCCACACUGGAGAGAAACCAUUCACAUGCACUCAGUGUGGGAAGAGUUUCAGCCAAUCAUCAUCCCUUAAUCUACACAUGAGGAUCCACACUGGAGAGAAACCAUUCACAUGCACUCAGUGUGGGAAGAGUUUCAGCCAAUCAUCAUCCCUUAAUCUACACGUGAGGAUCCACACUGGAGAGAAACCAUUCACAUGCCCUCACUGUGGGAAGAGUUUCAACCAAUCAUCACACCUUAACUGUCACAUGAAAAUACACACUGGAGAGAAACCAUUCACAUGCCCUCACUGUGGGAAGAGUUUCAGCCAAUCAUCAAACCUUAACUGUCACAUGACAAUCCACACUGGAGAGAAACCAUUCACAUGCACUCAGUGUGGAAAAAGUUUUACCUGCUCAUCACGCCUCUAUCAACACAUGAGGAUUCACACUGGAGAGAAACCAUUCUCAUGCACUCAGUGUGGGAAGAGUUUCAGCCAAUCAUCACACCUUAAUCAACACAUCAUGAGCCACACUGGAGAGAAACCAUUCACAUGCACUCAGUGUGGGAAGUGUUUUAACUGUUCAUCACACCUUAAUCAACACAUUAGGAUCCACAGUGGAGAGAAACCAUUUACAUGCACUCAGUGUGGGAAGAGUUUCAGCCAAUCAUCACACCUUAAUCAACACAUCAUGAGCCACACUGGAGAGAAACCAUUCAUAGACAAGAAUCAUUUCACCUGCACUCAGUGUGGAAAGAGUUUUGGAAGAAAACACAAUCUUAAGAUUCACAUGAGGAUCCACACUGGAGAGAAACCAUUCACAUGCACUCAGUGUGGGAAGAGUUUCAACCAAUCAUCAAACCUUUAUAAUCACAUGAUGAUCCACACUGGAGAGAAACCAUUCACAUGCUCUCAAUGUGGGAAAAGUUUUAACCGCUCAUCAGACCUUCAUCAACAUAUGAGGAUGAUUCACACUGGAGAGAAACCAUACACAUGCACUCAGUGUGGGAAGAGUUUUUACUGCUCAUCACACCUUCAUCAACACAUGAGGAUCCACACUGGAGAGAAACCAUUCACAUGCACUCAGUGUGGGAAGAGUUUCAGCCAAUCAUCACACUUUAAGCAACACAUGAGGAUCCACACUGAAGAGAAACCAUUCACAUGCACUCAGUGUGGGAAGAGUUUCAGCCAAUAAUCAAACCUUAAUUGACACAUGAGGAUACACACUGGAGAGAAACCAUUCACAUGCACUCAGUGUGGGAAGAGUUUCAGCCAGUCAUCACACCUUAAUCAACACAUGAGGAUCCACACUGGAGAGAAACUGGUCACAUGCACUCAGUGUGGGAGGAGUUUCAGCCAAUCAUCAUACCUUAAUAAACACAUGAUGAUCCACACUGGAGAGAAACCAUUCACUUGCACUCAGUGUGGGAAAAGUUUUAGGCAAUCAUCAUCCCUUAAUUACCACAUGAUGAUCCACACUGGAGAGAAACCAUUCACAUGCUCCCAGUGUGUGAAGAGUUUCAGUUGCUCAUCUCACCUUAAUAAACACAUGAUGAUCCACACUGGAGAGAAACCAUUCUCAUGCACUCAGUGUGGGAAGAGUUUCAGACACUCAUUAUUUCUUAAACAACACAUGAUGAUCCACACUGGAGAGAAACCAUUCACAUGCACUCAGUGUGGGAAGAGUUUCAGCCAAUCAUCAUCCCUUAAUCACCACAUGAGGAUCCACACUGGAGAGAAACCAUUCACAUGCACUCAGUGUGGGAAGAGUUUCAUACAAUCAUCACAACUUAACCGACACAUCAUGAUCCACACUGGAGAGAAACCAUUCACAUGCACUCAGUGUGGGAAGAGUUUCAGCCAAUCAUCAAACUUUAAUCUACACAUGAUGAUCCACACUGGAGAGAAACCAUACACAUGCACUCACUGUGGGAAGAGUUUCAGCAAAUCAUCAUCCCUUAAUGAACACAUGACUAUCCACUCUGGAGAGAAACCAUUCACAUGCACUCAGUGUAGGAAGAGUUUCAGUUGCUCAUCUCACCUUAAUCACCACAUGAGGAUCCACACUGGAGAGAAACCAUUCACAUGCACUCAGUGUGGAAAUCGCUUCAGCCGAUCAUCAAACCUUAAUCAACACAUGAUGAUCCACACUGGAGAGAAACCAUUCACUUGCACUCAGUGUGGGAAGAGUUUCAGCCAAUCAUCAUCCCUUAAUCACCACAUGAGGAUCCACACUGGAGAGAAACCAUUUACAUGCACUCAGUGUGGGAAGAGUUUCAUACAAUCAUCACAACUUAACCGACACAUGAGGAUCCACACUGGAGAGAAACCAUUUACUUGCACCUAAUGUGGAAAGAGUUUGUCAAGCAAAAGCAAACUUAAGAUUCACAUGAGGAUCCACACUGGAGAGAAACCAUUUACUUGCACUCAAUGUGGGAAAACUUUCAGGCAAUCAUCAUCCCUUAAUCAACACAUGAGGAUCCACACUGGAGAGAAACCAUUCACAUGCACUCAAUGUGGAAAGAGUUUCAGGCAAUUAUCAUCCCUUAAUCAACACAUGAGGAUCCACACUGGAGAGAAACUAUUCACCUGCACUCAGUGUGGAAAGAGUUUGUCAAGCAAAAGCAAACUUAAUAUUCACAUGAGGAUCCACACUGGAGAGAAACCAUUUACUUGCACUCCGUGUGGGAAGAGUUUUAACUGCUUAUCACACCUUAAUCAACACACAAGGAUCCACACUGGAGAGAAACCAUUCACAUGCAAUCAGUGUGGGAAGAGUUUUAACUGCUUAUCACACCUUAAUCAACACACGAGGAUCCACACUGGAGAGAAACCAUUCACAUGCAGUCAGUGUGGGAAGAGUUUCGGCCAAUCAUCAUCCCUUAAUCUACACAUGACGAGCCACACCAGAGAGAAACCAUUCACCUGCACUCAGUGUGGGAAGAGUUUUACCCUAUCAUCAGACCUUAAUAAACACAUGAAGACCCAUACUGACAAGAAUCAUUUCACCUGCACUCAGUGUGGAAAGAGUUUUGGAAGAAAAGGCGAUCUUAAGAUUCACAUGAGGAUCCACACUGGAGAGAAACCAUUCACAUGCAACCAGUGUGGGAAGAGUUUCAGCCAAGAAUCAAACCUUAAUCUACACAUGAGGAUCCACAUUGGAGAGAAACCAUUCACAUGCAUUCAGUGUAGGAAGAGUUUUAACUUUUCAUCAAACCUUCAUCAACACAUGAGGAUCCACACUGGAGAGAAACCAUUCACAUGCAACCAGUGUGGGAAGAGUUUCAGCCAAAAAUCAAACCUUAAUCUACACAUGAGGAUCCACACUAGAAAGAAACCAUUCAAAUGCACUCAAUGUGGGAAGAGUUUCAACCGCUCAUCAGACCUUUAUAAACACAUGAGAAUCCACACUGGAGAGAAACCAUUCACAUGCACUCAGUGUGAGAAGAGUUUUAACUUUUCAUCAAACCUUCGUCGACACAUGAGGAGCCACACUGGAGAGAAACCAUUCACAUGCACUCAGUGUGGGAAGAGUUACAACCACAUAUCACACCUUAAUCAACACAUGAGGAUCCACACUGGAGAGAAACCAUUCACAUGCCCUCAGUGUGGGAAGAGUUUCAGCCAAUCAUCACACCUUAAUAAACACAUCAUGAGCCACACUGGAGAGAAACCAGACAAGAAUUGUUUCACCUGCACUCAGUGUGGAAAGAUUUUGGCAAGCAAAAGCAAACUUAAGAUUCACAUGAUAAUCCAUACUGGAGAGAAACCAUUCACGUGCACUCAGUGUGGGAAGAGUUUCCGCCAAGCAUCAUCACUUAAUAAACACAUGAGGAUCCACACUGGAGAGAAACCAUUCACAUGCACUCAGUGUGGAAUAAGUUUUAACUGCUCAUCAUACCUUAAACAACACAUGAGGAUCCACACUGGAGAGAAACCAUUCACUUGCACUCAGUGUGGGAGGAGUUUCAACCGCUCAUCACACCUUAAUCACCACAUGAGGAUCCACACUGGAGAGAAACCAUUUACUUGCACUCAGUGUGGGAAGAGUUUUAACCGCUCAUCAAACCUUGAUCAACACAUAAGGAUCCACACUGGAGAGAAACCAAUAACGUGCACUCUAUGUGGGAAGAGUUUUCGCCAAUCAUCAUCCCUUUCUAAACACAUGAGGACCCACACUGGAGAGAAACCAUUUACUUGCACUCAGUGUGGGAAGAGUUUUCGCCAAUCAUCAUCCCUUUAUAGACACAUGAGGAUCCACACUGGAGAGAAACCAUUCACAUGCACUCAGUGUGGGAAGAGUUUCAGCCAAUCAUCAAACUUUAAUCUACACAUGAGGAUCCACACUGGAGAGAAACCAAUAACGUGCACUCAGUGUGGGAAGAGUUUUCACCAAUCAUCAUCCCUUUAUAAACACAUGAGGAUCCACACUGGAGAGAAACCAUUCACAUGCACUCAGUGUGGGAAGAGUUUCAGCCGAUUAUCACACCUUAAUCGACACAUGAUGAUCCACACUGGAGAGAAACCAUUCACAUGCAAUCAGUGUGGGAAGAGUUUCAGCCGAUUAUCACACCUUAUUCGACACAUGAUGAUCCACACUGGAGAGAAACCAUUCACAUGCUCUCAGUGUAGAAAGAGUUUCAGCAUCUUAUCAUCGCUUUACAGACACAUGAGGAUCCACACUGGAGAAAAACCAUUCACAUGCACUCAGUGUGGGAAAAGUUUUCGCCAAUCAUCAAAUCUUAAUCUACACAUGAUGAUCCACACUGGAGAGAAACCAUUCAAAUGCACUCAGUGUGGGAAGAGUUUCAGCCAAUCAUCACACCUUAAUCAACACAUCAUGAUCCACACUGGAGAGAAACCAUUCAAAUGCACUCAGUGUGGGAAGAGUUUCAUCCAAUCAUCAUCCCUUAAUCAACACAUGAUGAUCCACACUGGAGAGAAACCAUUCACAUGCCCUAAGUGUGGGAAGAGUUUCAGGAAAUCAUCCCAAUCAUCAUCCCUUAAUAAACACAUGAGGAUCCACACUGGAGAGAAACCAUUCACAUGCACUCAGUGUGGGAAGAGUUUCAACCAAACAUCAUCCCUUAAAGAUCACAUGAGGAUCCACACUGGAGAGAAACCAUUUACAUGCCCUAAGUGUGGGAAGAGUUUCAACCAAUCAUCACACCUUAAUCACCACAUGAGGAUCCACACUGGAGAGAAACCAUUUACUUAAACUCAGUGUGGAAAGAGUUUCAGCCGACCAUCAUCCCUUAAUAAACACAUGAAGAUCCACACUGGUGUGAGAGCGUAUAUGUGCUUGAAGUGUAAGAAGACUUUUAUUACAGCUGAAGAUUUGAAACGGCACCAGAGAAUUCACACUGGGUAAAAAAACCUACAAGUGUUCACAGUGCAGUAAGAGGUUUACUCACUCACAAACCCUGAAAACACAUGAGAGGAUUCACACUGGAGGUAAACCAUAGACAUGAUCAGUGUGUACAGAGUUUCACAAAUUUGGGGAAGCUUAAGACAUGGGAUGGUUUCCGGUAUGGCAUCAACAGGUGUUGCAGAAUAGAAAGAGCGCUCCCAUACACACUGGUAUUAAUCCUUUUUUUACAUCAUAUAUGAUAACCUAAACCAUGUUUAAAUAACAUGGAGGGGGACAAAAACAAAAAGGCUUGGACAAAACAACCAUUGAAACCUAAAAAAAAAACUAGAAAUCAACAGAUGAAAAAUCAGAGACAGACGGGAUAGCUGAUAGCCUGUAAGCUAGCAUUCCAGCAAUACAUACAGACAUCAAAGUAUUCCAGAUGGAUAUUAAAUUUGAUUUAACCGCCUUCCAAGAUUCUCUCGCAAAAGAUGUGAAAAUGGAACUAAGUAACUUUAAAUAAGAAGUCAAUUAAAAACCGGAUGGCCUGAUCACGGACCUAAACGCAACAGCAGAAAAGGUCAACGAAGUGAGGAAGCGAGUUGGAGAAUUGGAGAACGUUGCUUAGAUAAAAGAAAUUCUUGGUCAAACCAUACAAAUUAAGACAUGAAGAAAACUAUUAAGAGAAACUGUUAUAUCUAGAAGCACGCUCCCGUAGAAAUAAUAUUCAGAUUUUUUGAAUCCCGGAAGGAAGCAAAGGGAAUAAUAUCCAAGAUCCAAGUGGAAAUGUUUAUCAAAACGAACUGUCACUUGACGAAAUAGAUCUUAAAAUCCGACAAUGUCAACAGAGGCAUCAAGAGAUCUGAAAGAAAAAGGACUAAUAAACAGCAAAGAAGAAACUAUUAUAGGAAUCGUUCGAGGUUACAGAAGUAACCCUUCGUUCCCCGAGGAGGGGA